CCCCACAGCCUGGGUCUUCUCCGGUUGCUCCAAGGCUCCAAGGACACUGACACCGAAUCCUUGAGCCCCAGAUAUCUGAGGUGUCCCUGGGCCUCUGAGAUCUUUGUGUCUCUGUGGCUGCGGUGUGACAUUUGCCGAGUGUCUGCUCUCGGAACGGCACGACUUCCCUGCAGGGCGGGGUGCGUUUCCUUUUCCGACAGCUGCGGUCUUCCUAGGAAGAGCCAGGGCGCGGCUGCUGCGUGCAAGAUGGGCCCCUCUCCCGUCUCGGCCCCACAAGGUUCCCAGACCCCCCAACUCAGAGGAACGUUUAAUCUCGUGGACGUGGGAACGAAAUGACAAGUGCAAUCCCUCCUCGGACCUCAGUGUGCAGGCCCGCCUUGCCGGGCUCUCUCCCGGCUCCAGCACGGUGCAGCCGGCCCCAGGCCCCGACAUGAAUCUGUUCUCUCCAAAAGAUGGUUCCUGGGCUAUAUUUCUACAAUGCAAUCGGGUAGAGCUCCUGUGGACAUUCACGUACACCUGCUACCAGCGGUCAAGCUGACGCCUACCACUGCCACCUUGUCUCUAGCUCAACCUUCACGCUCCUGCUGCCUGGGAAGAAACACAUGCGCUUCUACCAGGGUCUCCCCUCCUCUCCCGUCUAGCGGGUGUUGGGUAAGAUGCAGCUCAGCGGAAUCAAGAGACGGUGCCCACCCGUUUAUCCUCCUGCUCCUCGGACGCUGGCUGUGCUCCCUGCUGAUGUUCUGUGGAGCUCCCUGGUCCUGAUGCCCUCUGUGCCCCUCCUCCCCGUAUCCUAGCAACGCUUCCCAGCAGCCUCCCUCCUUCGUGCGCUCAGGUGGUGUUCCUGGAGCAGGUCCCUGCCAGAGAUUAUCUUGGUGGAAAAGGGGUGAGUGUUAUCCAGACCCCAGACGGGGUGUAUGAGACGCUGGGGCACAUGUCCCUGUGUCCUACGGGCCGGAUGCACCCCGAGUCAUCUGUACCCUGCAGCUAGCAGGGUAUGGUGCAUUCAGACAACGCAUUCUUCCUCUUAUCUCCCCAGCCUGGGUCACAUUAAUCAUCGUCUCGGGCCUCACAGAUGUCAGUUCAUUUGAGUUCAUGCCUUUCCGAGUGCAGGACUUGGAGGUGUGGAUGUGCAGGACGUGCUGCUCAGCCAUCCCGUUCUCCGGCAGACUCUACUGCAGGUCCCAGGGUGCCCUUAGCAUGGACCUGACCCCUGAGCCUCAAUUUCCUCCUCCACAAAAUGGGGAUGCUUGUAGCACCCAUGCAUUAGGGGUGUCAGGACAACUGAGUGUUGUGACGGGGAAAGGUGCUUAGACCGCUCCCCGUUUCACAUCAGAGAUCGGCUAUUACUUACGGUUCUCGCUGGUUGAAGUAUCAGCUUUUACCAGCUUCCAAAUAGUUAUCUUUAGUGCUUUAGAGAAGGGCAGAGGGUCAGGAUUCCCUGGGAAGGGAAGGGCAUGCAUGUCUGUAAGCAGUGAAUUGGGGUCAGAAUGACCUGGGUUCCAUGUCUGCCCGGCCACUUGCCUGCUGAGUGACCUGGGACAAGUUACCUAUCCUCUCUGAACUUCUGUUUCUUUACAUGCAAAGGAGGGAAUUAGAAUGCCCCCUUGCAGGAUUGUGGUCAAGGUCACAAAGUGCCCAGCCUGGGGCCUGGCACACAGUGAACGCUCAAAAAGAAAGACAAGGUCGCUGCCCCUGUGAAGGCAUCCUCAUCCUGGUCCCUCUGGCUGUCCUCUGCAGAGACAGCUUGCGGUUCAGGGCUCACACAGAGGUUACCGCUUCUGAGUCACAGUCCCGAUUUUCCAGCAUCUAGAACCAGCCCCCUAAAAUCUUCUCCUCUGGGGACCUCUGGGGAAACUGAUUUUCUACCCAUGAGGGACUUCCUGACUUGGGGUCACUCUGGCGUUCGUAGGGCUUUCACUCCUGAUGCUUCCCCCCCUUCCCCCGCCCCCGGUUCCUCUGCUGCCUAGCAGGCAGAGCCUCUGUUCCAGACUGGCCCAUUUCUAUACCAGUUUGGUCUGCUCGCUCCUCUGCACCCCUCCGGGCACGGGUCUCCCACUGGGGAUGCCCUCUCUGUCCACUUGAAUGUCACAGUUUCCCAGCCCACGUCCCACAGCCCCAACCCACCUCAGCCCCACUUUCUGCAUCCUCACUAUCCUGGACAGGGUGGCCACCCACUCCCCCCAGGGCUGAAGC
Mustela lutreola (European mink) is the source of this 2193-nucleotide long non-coding RNA. RefSeq lists it as uncharacterized. The record is from RefSeq and is a predicted model, not a curated record. Lineage: Eukaryota; Metazoa; Chordata; Mammalia; Carnivora; Mustelidae. The transcript has 3 exons.